GAUGGACGUUUGGUCUGACCCAGUGUGGCCGUUCUUAUGUUCUGGUUUCUAAAGUGGCCUAUGCAAUGAUUGGAACAUCCCAAAUGACUGUUUCCCCCGUUGUCUGUGUAAGAGCAUCCCUUCUCCUAGAUUUUUAUCCUGGGAAACCACCCCAGAGCCCCUCCUUCACCAGGUUCACAUUGUCUUCUUGUAAUGGUCCUCUCACUGCCCCAGCAUGGGACUGGACCAUGAGAACAAUCUGUGAAGGGCGGGGGAGGGGAUUUGCCAUUACUGGACUUAUUUAAUCUUGAGAGUGGAGGUUCUGCUUUAGUUCAGCCAGGAGUUCAGGGAAGUCCUGGGGCCGGUGCAUACCGGGGGUCAGAUUAGAUGAUCACCGUGGUCCUGUAGGGCUGUGAAAUUAUAAUCCAAGACCAGGCCACCCCUUCUCUGCUGCUGUUGGCAAAAGCUGUUUCUAAUUGUGUGACGAGCCUCGCUGGGGGAAGCGUUUCUGCCUGUACAUUGAGAGAAGUGUGUAAGCUCCCACAAGGAAAUCUACACAGACCUUGGAGGGCGCUUCCUAGAAGGUUGCUUGGAACUCUCUGGCCCAGCUUGUCGCACAGUCCAGCGGUUGGUGGAAGAGACCCCAUAGUGGGCAAGUCUUGAGGCUUAGUGACCCACUGGUUUUUCACAUCCCUCUGGCAGUACAAUGCCCUACCAGUGCAAUGCCCUACCACAGAAACAAACUGACCAGGAGCAAAGGCCUCAGCAGGUUCCUGAUGUACAGGCCAAUGUGUGCAUGAAAACCCUCAAGCCCAGGCGCCCACUGGCCAGUCUGCAAGGCAGGGAGAGAGCCCCGAACUGCUCACCAAGCCAGAGGAAAGACCAGAAAUGUGCUCUGAUGGGAAGGUCCUGCCCCGGUCUGUGUGGUGGGCAUAUUCCUAAGGCCUGCACUGCUGUCUCGGUGCGACAGGAUAUGGGAGGGCAGGAAAACUGUGAUGCAGUGAGCCUUUUCCCCUGCAUCCUGCUCCAGGCAGGGCGGGGAGUGUUUGCUUUGGUUGGCCUGGACGUCACUGGGCCUUGGGGCGGCAGCAGCAGGUGGUGGGCUGCAACAGCAGCUCCAUGCAACCAAUGGCUACGGCCAGAACCUUGUGGCCUGCGAUCCUUCUGCAUGUGAUCCCAGGGGGGCAAGUGUGGGAAUUGUGCCAACCUGAUCAGAGCAGAACGGCCGAUCGUCCUGUGUCACAUGCACGUAUCUUAACCCCGCGUCGGCACAGCUACCAGCCAGAGCACCCGAUGCAGAAGGACACUGAGUUUGAGCUAUCCCACGGAGUCUGCUACUGGACAGACUGGAUGGGGUUGAAGAUCAUGAGUAGCCCAGUGCAGACUAUCCAGAAGGUUUGUGUGUGGAGACAGCUGGAUUCCUGGUGUGCAGAACCGAGGGCAGUGCGGUUCGUGCUCGCUAGAACCCAUUCGGCUGGAAUACGAGUAUCCAGCCCCACUCUGCUACUGGGGGAAAUGAAACACAGUACUGCCCGAUGAGACGCUGAAGGGUGCUUUGUAUCUAACGUCGGCUGGCAGGAGAACUGAGCCAGCACAUGGCUGAUGGGAUGGAACAGGAAAUGAUCCUCCACUUGACGAUAGGGCCUGUGCAGGACAUCCUCAGUGUUUGUUUGAAACUGAGCGGUGGCCAACUCCUGUUGAGUCGCCUGGGGCCUGUGGAUUCUGGUCACUCCUCUGCUGCCUGCUGAGAUGGUUUGCUGCUGCUUCGGCCAUAAGGAGAUUUAAACUUCUCCCCCAAAGACGUUUCCAAAGCACCAUGUAUGGCUGACUCUCUGGCAGGGUGUUGUCGGGCUCAGCCCCGGCUGUGCUCCUGACAGAAUAGCUGCCUGGUACAUCUUGAUGGACAGAAGUGACCCCCCCACACAAAAUUGCAUGGAGCCAUCCCACCCCCCAGCCCUGCUGCUUCCCAGGGAGGGGCUGUGAGUGCUGCAGUUUCCCAGCUGCUCCUGCAAUGAAAAGAGGAGGUCUCAGGCGUGGGCCCAGAUUCUCUGCUACCAGAGCCUGCUGGGGAAGCUGUAGGACAACCAUCUUGGAAUGCAAUGCCAGUGCAUGCAGUAGGGGGUGCAGCUGCCACGUAACCGCUGAAAAGCACUGCUGCGGGAACUAAAACUGCAUCCACGGAACAAGCCAGCUCUCCAGCAGAGGGUGCUCAAAGCCACAGGCCGUCAGCAUGCACCUGUUCUUCGAGCGCUUGCUCGUAUCGAUUCCAAUCCAGUGCGCACCGUGUGCACAGUCACCAGAAGGUUUUACCCUAGCACUACCCCUCGGGUCAGCUGUGGCGCCCCCUGGAGUCGCGCUUUCAUGGCACCGCAUACAGGGCCCUGCCGACCUGCUGCCUCUCCAGUUCCUUCCUCCUGCCAGUGACGGUCCUUGGAACGUUCCCUCUCUCAUUUGUCGAGUGAUUUCCCCCCCACCCCCCCCAGUAGCUUUCGCUUAAAAUGUCUUGUAUAUAGUUUAGACGUUUGUUUAUAGUUGUAGUUUAGACAGAUAAGUUUUAGUGGUUAUUGGGGGUUCUCCCCAUUUUUUUUCCUUUCCCUUCCCUGGGGCCUGGCCAUGCCUCGGUCCCAGGAGUUCAAACCGUGUGGGGUCUGCCCAAAAACCGAUGCCCAAAGGCUACCCACACACAGCCUGUCUUAAGUGCCCGGGUGAGUCCCACCAAACAGACGGGCAAGAACUGCAGGAGUUUUUGUCCCCGCACUAAGAAAGGGGCCAUAGAUUAAAGCUCCUGUUGAUGGAGGCAGCUCUGCAACCGCAAUCAGAGUCCAGCCCUGGGGAACUGGCACCAGGCUCCUCUGUGUCGGCUGCAGCUCAGCGGCUUCAAUUAGGGAGGCACAGAGACACUGACGGGGGCGCUCCCUCCCUCGAGCACCGGAGUGUGACAGUAAGGGAGUGUGACCUGUGCCAGGUCACUCCUCUCCAGCGGUGCAACAAGCAGCACCGUCUACUACUGGCCCACAAGCAGGACCGUCAAGUCCGGUGCCAGUGGAAGAGGGCCAGGAGGAGGACCUGGACCUUUCUUCUACUCCAGAGACUUUCGAGCCGCCUCUUAUAGGCCUAACAGACCCGCAUUCGCCAGUCCCACUUCUUAAGGUUUGUAGUUGGGGGUACUCACUACAAUUUGCAGUCCUCCCAUUAGGCCUAUCAUCAGCACCUCGGGUGUUCACCAAAUGUAUGUCAGUCGUGGCCGCCUUCCUGCGGAAAAGAGAUGUCCAGGUAUUCCCGUACCUCGACGACGGGCUAGUGAACGGCUGGUCCAGGACACAGUGGAUCUACAGGUCACCCA
Chelonoidis abingdonii (Abingdon island giant tortoise) is the source of this 3322-nucleotide non-coding RNA. The record is from RefSeq and is a predicted model, not a curated record. Lineage: Eukaryota; Metazoa; Chordata; Testudines; Testudinidae.